This 497-nucleotide ribosomal RNA is filed under the name uncultured bacterium. RNAcentral's name for it is "partial 16S ribosomal RNA". It matches the Rfam family "Bacterial small subunit ribosomal RNA", at positions 28 to 507 of the family's 1533-position model. The record is from RNAcentral.
GACGAACGCUGGCGGCGUGCCUAAUACAUGCAAGUUGAGCGCUGAAGGUUGGUACUUGUACCAACUGGAUGAGCAGCGAACGGGUGAGUAACGCGUGGGGAAUCUGCCUUUGAGCGGGGGACAACAUUUGGAAACGAAUGCUAAUACCGCAUAAAAACUUUAAACACAAGUUUUAAGUUUGAAAGAUGCAAUUGCAUCACUCAAAGAUGAUCCCGCGUUGUAUUAGCUAGUUGGUGAGGUAAAGGCCCACCAAGGCGAUGAUACAUAGCCGACCUGAGAGGGUGUUCCGCCCCAUUGAGACUGAGACACGGCCCAAACUCCUCCGGGAGGCAGCAGUAGGGAAUCUUCGGCUAUGGACGAAAGUCUGACCGAGUAACGCCGCGUGAGUGAAGAAUGUUUUCGGCUCGUAAAACUCUGUUGGUAGAGAAGAACGUUGGUGAGAGUGGAAAGCUCAUCAAGUGACGGUAACUACGCAGAAAGGGACGGCUAACUACGUG